UAUAGCAGCAAUAUCACCCUGAAGCCCAAGACUGGUCACCCACUGAAGCUAAGCAGGGUUGAGCCUGGUCAGUACCUGGAUGGGAGACCUCCUGGGAAAACUAGGUUGCUGCUGGAA
Molecule: ribosomal RNA, 117 nt
Filed under: Sinocyclocheilus rhinocerous
Lineage: Eukaryota; Metazoa; Chordata; Actinopteri; Cypriniformes; Cyprinidae
Source: RNAcentral